UACGUAGGGGGCAAGCGUUGUCCGGAUUUACUGGGUGUAAAGGGUGCGUAGGCGGGUACUUAAGUCGGAUGUGAAAUCUAUGAGCUCAACUCAUAGCCUGCAUUUGAUACUGGGUAUCUUGAGUAUGGUAGAGGUAAGUGGAAUUCCUAGUGUAGCGGUGAAAUGCGUAGAUAUUAGGAGGAACACCAGUGGCGAAGGCGGCUUACUGGACCACAACUGACGCUGAGGCACGAAAGCGUGGGGAGCGAACAGG
This 253-nucleotide ribosomal RNA is filed under the name uncultured bacterium. RNAcentral describes it as "partial 16S ribosomal RNA". It matches the Rfam family "Bacterial small subunit ribosomal RNA", at positions 524 to 776 of the family's 1533-position model. The record is from RNAcentral.